RNAcentral lists this long non-coding RNA (1190 nucleotides) under Macaca mulatta (Rhesus monkey). RNAcentral describes it as "lncRNA (ENSMMUG00000063083.1)". Lineage: Eukaryota; Metazoa; Chordata; Mammalia; Primates; Cercopithecidae. The record is from RNAcentral.
AUGGUGAAAUUGAAGCUCAGAAAGAUGCUCAAGGUCACACAGCCAGGGAGUGACAAUCUGGCUCUAGCACCUGUUACCUACCCUCUACUCUACUCUCAAAAGUCAGGGUUAACUACAGCUUCCAGGCUAAGAGAAGCCUGUUUCUGUGAAGAGGAGAGCAUGAAAUAUGUGGAAUAUCGUGCUGAGACCUUUAUCACAAGACAGAACCCAGAGGAUUCAGACAGACGAAGAAGUCAGGAAGCUUGCAUGUCAUAUCCUGCUGGAGGCACAAAAACCACAAGACUGAUGGUCCCAAGGAGAACUUAAUUGAGACGACUGGAGAAACAGGUAAUGUAAAAAGAGAAAAAUAAUUUUGUUUUUCUUGUGGGUUUUUUAAAACGGUGACACCAGCUGAGUUUGAUUAAUUUGCUUCAAGGACAAAAAGUUCAUUGAAAACAGCAGAGACGGCUUCUGGGUGUAGACAAAUGGAAAUGGCAGCCAACAAUGCAUUAAUACAAUUUCAGGUUUAUUUACCUACAGAAAGCUUAGAGGUUGGGAACUGCAUGCAAUACUGCAAACCACUAAAAACACCAUAGAAAAAUGAAACAAUGGCAGCGGCACACCAAGCGGUUUCAUUAAAUAUAAAACCAUGAAUGCAAUUUAAUUGGGAUUUCCUUCCAGGGCCAGCAGUGAGGACUCUUGCCCUGUCACAGCUGUGUCUUGCUUAUGUGUGAACAGCUACAUGCUGAGGGUCUUGCAGGCACACUUUACAUCAAAGCUGUAAGUCAAGCUACUCCAGUGACUUUAAAGCAAUUUAAAUAAACACCCCUCAGGGGAAAGAGGAAAAGCUGUGGUUGAGAAAAAUGCAGUGUUUGGAACAAUGAGAAGGGGCAGAUAUUACAGAGAACCACCUCAUCCAUCCCACAUGACAGGGCCAGGGAUGUGACUUUCCCAAGUUUCUCAGAACCAGGCUGUGGAUAACACAGCAAUGCAUGGCCCAGGUCACCUUUCAAGAAAGGACUUGCUGCCCAGCUAAGGGGAAUGUGGUCAUUGGUGAGCCUCCAACUGACAGCUUCUUCAGGGUCAGCCUCAGCUGCCUAGAGUUGCUUUGCCCAAAGUCUUACCCUUCUCAGAGAAGCCUCAGAUUGGUCAUUCAAUGACCAAGGAAGAGGGGAGUAGGCUCAGCCAUUACUGACACAGUAUCAUUCCAG